This 234-nucleotide unclassified non-coding RNA is filed under the name Hevea brasiliensis (rubber tree). The record is from RNAcentral. Lineage: Eukaryota; Viridiplantae; Streptophyta; Magnoliopsida; Malpighiales; Euphorbiaceae.
AGAUGAGUCAAAGGGGCCUAUCUGUCGUCGGUGAGAUCUCACACCGCCGCCACAUCACCGGAGCAACGACGUCGGACACUCAACGACAUUUCGACGACACAAAAUCCCUCAGUUUAUUUUGUUUUCCCCUUUGAUCUUCCCGUUUGGCUUCGGAUUUGUUCGAACAGCAGUUUGGGUUUUUGGCGGAGUCAACGAAAAAACGCGGUGGUCCCUUUCGUGAAUCGGAGAAUGGCG